This 253-nucleotide ribosomal RNA is filed under the name uncultured bacterium. RNAcentral describes it as "partial 16S ribosomal RNA". It matches the Rfam family "Bacterial small subunit ribosomal RNA", at positions 524 to 776 of the family's 1533-position model. The record is from RNAcentral.
UACGUAGGUGGCAAGCGUUGUCCGGAUUUAUUGGGCGUAAAGCGCGCGCAGGCGGUCCUUUAAGUCUGAUGUGAAAGCCCACGGCUCAACCGUGGAGGGUCAUUGGAAACUGGGGGACUUGAGUGCAGAAGAGGAAAGUGGAAUUCCAAGUGUAGCGGUGAAAUGCGUAGAGAUUUGGAGGAACACCAGUGGCGAAGGCGACUUUCUGGUCUGUAACUGACGCUGAGGCGCGAAAGCGUGGGGAGCAAACAGG